RNAcentral lists this ribosomal RNA (164 nucleotides) under uncultured bacterium. Its description in RNAcentral is "partial 16S ribosomal RNA". It matches the Rfam family "Bacterial small subunit ribosomal RNA", at positions 355 to 511 of the family's 1533-position model. The record is from RNAcentral.
UAGGGAAUCUUCCACAAUGGACGAAAGUCUGAUGGAGCAACGCCGCGUGAGUGAAGAAGGGUUUCGGCUCGUAAAACUCUGUUGUUAAAGAAGAACAUAUCUGAGAGUAACUGUUCAGGUAUUGACGGUAUUUAGCCAGAAAGCCACGGCUAACUACGUGCUAG